CCUACGGGAGGCAGCAGUGGGGAAUUUUGCGCAAUGGGGGCAACCCUGACGCAGCAACGCCGCGUGAGUGAUGAAGGCCUUCGGGUCGUAACGCUCUGUCAGAGGGGAAGAAAUGCAGGUGGUGAACAACCAUUCUGUUUGACGGUACCCUCAAAGGAAGCACCGGCUAACUCCGUGCCAGCAGCCGCGGUAAUACGGAGGGUGCGAGCGUUGUUCGGAAUUAUUGGUCGUAAAGCGCGUGUAGGCGGUUUGUUAAGUCUGAUGAGAAAGCCCCGGGCUAAACCGGGGAAGUGCAUUGGAUACUGGCAGACUUGAGUACGGGAGAGGAGAUUGGAAUUCCCAGGGUAGGAGUGAAAUCCGUAGAUAUUGGGAGGAACACCGGUGGAGAAGGCGGCUCUCUGGACCUAUACUGACGC
Molecule: ribosomal RNA, 416 nt
Filed under: uncultured Desulfuromonadales bacterium
Lineage: Bacteria; Pseudomonadati; Thermodesulfobacteriota; Desulfuromonadia; Desulfuromonadales
Description: partial 16S ribosomal RNA
Rfam family: Bacterial small subunit ribosomal RNA
Source: RNAcentral